GACGAACGCUGGCGGCGUGCUUAACACACGCAAGUCGAACGGAAAGGCCCUGCUUUUGUGGGGUGCUCGAGUGGCGAACGGGUGAGUAACACGUGAGUAACCUGCCCUUGACUUUGGGAUAACUUCAGGAAACUGGGGCUAAUACCGGAUAGGAGCUCCUGCUGCAUGGUGGGGGUUGGAAAGUUUCGGCGGUUGGGGAUGGACUCGCGGCUUAUCAGCUUGUUGGUGGGGUAGUGGCUUACCAAGGCUUUGACGGGUAGCCGGCCUGAGAGGGUGACCGGCCACAUUGGGACUGAGAUACGGCCCAGACUCCUACGGGAGGCAGCAGUGGGGAAUAUUGCACAAUGGGCGGAAGCCUGAUGCAGCAACGCCGCGUGCGGGAUGACGGCCUUCGGGUUGUAAACCGCUUUCGCCUGUGACGAAGCGUGAGUGACGGUAAUGGGUAAAGAAGCACCGGCUAACUACGUGCCAGCAGCCGCGGUGAUACGUAGGGUGCGAGCGUUGUCCGGAUUUAUUGGGCGUAAAGGGCUCGUAGGUGGUUGAUCGCGUCGGAAGUGUAAUCUUGGGGCUUAACCCUGAGCGUGCUUUCGAUACGGGUUGACUUGAGGAAGGUAGGGGAGAAUGGAAUUCCUGGUGGAGCGGUGGAAUGCGCAGAUAUCAGGAGGAACACCAGUGGCGAAGGCGGUUCUCUGGGCCUUUCCUGACGCUGAGGAGCGAAAGCGUGGGGAGCGAACAGGCUUAGAUACCCUGGUAGUCCGCGCUGUAAACGGUGGGUACUAGGUGUGGGGUCCAUUCCACGGGUUCCGUGCCGUAGCUAACGCUUUAAGUACCCCGCCUGGGGAGUACGGCCGCAAGGCUAAAACUCAAAGGAAUUGACGGGGCCCCGCACAAGCGGCGGAGCAUGCGGAUUAAUUCGAUGCAACGCGUAGAACCUUACCUGGGUUUGACAUGGAUCGGGAGCGCUCAGAGAUGGGUGUGCCUCUUUUGGGGUCGGUUCACAGGUGGUGCAUGGCUGUCGUCAGCUCGUGUCGUGAGAUGUUGGGUUAAGUCCCGCAACGAGCGCAACCCUUGUUCACUGUUGCCAGCACGUUAUGGUGGGGACUCAGUGGAGACCGCCGGGGUCAACUCGGAGGAAGGUGGGGAUGACGUCAAGUCAUCAUGCCCCUUAUGUCCAGGGCUUCACGCAUGCUACAAUGGCUGGUACAGAGAGUGGCGAGCCUGUGAGGGUGAGCGAAUCUCGGAAAGCCGGUCUCAGUUCGGAUUGGGGUCUGCAACUCGACCUCAUGAAGUCGGAGUCGCUAGUAAUCGCAGAUCAGCAACGCUGCGGUGAAUACGUUCCCGGG
This 1343-nucleotide ribosomal RNA is filed under the name uncultured bacterium. RNAcentral's name for it is "16S ribosomal RNA". It matches the Rfam family "Bacterial small subunit ribosomal RNA", at positions 28 to 1378 of the family's 1533-position model. The record is from RNAcentral.